CUCCCACAGUGUCUGGGGUGGGGCACCGCAGUGGCUGUCCCCAUCCUUGGCUGGCAGCAGCAUGGCACCUACCUCUGAGCCAGUGGUGCCUGUGGACAUUGUUCUUAUUUAUCAGAUGAAGCUGGGGUUGGAGAUGGAGUUGUCAUCUUGUGACCUCAAAGCAACCAGCAUGAUAACAAAAGCCAGCACACCACAGACGGCAGAAUGGAAAGGCAGUAAGAAUCUGGGUCCGGUCUCUCACAAGGUUGUUGAGUCACUACACCAGUCCUGGAAUGCUGAUCUCUGGAGAACUUGUUAGACAGUCUUCCCACCACCUUGUUCCGAGGCUCUGGGUGAGUGUUCCAGAAGCUGACGAGAUGCAGGAUCGUCUCCCUCACACACACAAAUGCCAUGGCAACAGCAACUCCGUGACAACAGCAAAGAAAGCCAGACUGGAAUUUGCCAACCCAGAGUGUUGACCAUCUGUGAGGCCAAACCCUCCAAAUGUUGCCCGUUCUAAGUGCUCAUCUCAACCAGGCUUUUGUACAUAGCAGAGGCGACAUUUAAGUGACAUAAGAAUAAACAUUGGGCACAUGUGAAAUCCCUUUAAAGUGUGCAUUUUUCUGCCCCAAUGUGACUGAGAUGAUGACACAAUGAAGAAAAAGGGGGGACUAGGUUUGAGUGAGUGGGCA
This 671-nucleotide long non-coding RNA is filed under the name Homo sapiens (human). RNAcentral's name for it is "HSALNT0350504". The record is from RNAcentral. Lineage: Eukaryota; Metazoa; Chordata; Mammalia; Primates; Hominidae.